CAGUCGCCGCGGGAAUACGAGGGGUGCAAGCGUUACUCGGAAUUACUGGGCGUAAAGCGUGCGUAGGUGGUGGUUUAAGUCCGUUGUGAAAGCCCUGGGCUCAACCUGGGAAUUGCAGUGGAUACUGGAUCACUAGAGUGUGGUAGAGGAUAGUGGAAUUUCCGGUGUAGCAGUGAAAUGCGUAGAGAUCGGAAGGAACAUCUGUGGCGAAGGCGACUAUCUGGGCCAACACUGACACUGAGGCACGAAAGCGUGGGGAGCAAACAGGAUUAGAUACCCCUGUAGUCCCUGUCUCUUAUAC
RNAcentral lists this ribosomal RNA (301 nucleotides) under uncultured bacterium. Its description in RNAcentral is "partial 16S ribosomal RNA". It matches the Rfam family "Bacterial small subunit ribosomal RNA", at positions 509 to 807 of the family's 1533-position model. The record is from RNAcentral.